AUACGGAGGGUGCAAGCGUUAUCCGGAUUCAUUGGGUUUAAAGGGUGCGCAGGCGGAUAUUUAAGUCAGUGGUGAAAUCCCGGGGCUCAACCUCGGAACUGCCAUUGAUACUGAAUAUCUGGAAUACGGUUGAAGUGGGCGGAAUGUAGCAUGUAGCGGUGAAAUGCAUAGAGAUGUUACAGAACACCGAUCGCGAAGGCAGCUCACUAAGCCGAUAUUGACGCUCAGGCACGAAAGCGUGGGGAGCGAACAGGAUUAGAAACCCUAGUAGUCC
Molecule: ribosomal RNA, 274 nt
Filed under: uncultured bacterium
Lineage: Bacteria
Description: partial 16S ribosomal RNA
Rfam family: Bacterial small subunit ribosomal RNA
Source: RNAcentral